Molecule: long non-coding RNA, 1789 nt
Filed under: Manihot esculenta (cassava)
Lineage: Eukaryota; Viridiplantae; Streptophyta; Magnoliopsida; Malpighiales; Euphorbiaceae
Description: long non-coding RNA (MESC_LNC002804)
Source: RNAcentral
UAAACCCCGGUUUUUAACCACGGUCCAACAUUAAACUCUCAACUCUCUGCCUUCACUAGUUCAUUGACUGGUCCGGAUUUAAAAACGUUGAUAUAAAUGUCUACAUAGUUCACUUGCUAUAACAUAUAUAAGAUAUAUUCCAACAGUGAAAAGCAUCACAUAUUUAUAUACAAGGUUACCUAUAAUUAAGCUACUAAUUAGGGAGCAAUACAAUAUCUACAUAAAUAUCUAUAUAGUUGACUUCCUUUAACAGAUGUGUGUAUAAAUUUAGGUUGUGGCACCUCACUUUAGAAAGGUCUUCUUCGCCUCUCAUCUCUCGCUCUUGCUUAAGGUCAUAGGACACUUAUCGCCUUGGUGUUGAUUCUAGCUUUAAUAACAUUGGCUAUUGAAAUGAAAGGGCUAGAUAAGAAAUGUAGCACACAUUGGAAAUGGAUGGUAGCACCAGUUAAGAAUUGAGGGCUGGUUGUCUGCACUCUGAAUUCUGAAAUGGUUUCACUAUAUCUGACAUUAAACAUUUUGAUUUGCCAGUGCAAUAAAGGAGUGUGGAUUAUAGACCAAAAAAUGAUAUGAAUUGAAGUGGCAAAAAUUGAUUUGAUGUCACAAACUCACAAUAGCUUGCAUAAAACGUUGGCUCUAAAUGGAAUAUAACAAACAAAAAAGAUUCAUGUAACUAUGCCCAAUUUGGUUGGUGAAAUUUAAACAGUUGGUUCAUUAUCUAUGACUUCAUCAUCUAAUCUGUGUUGCUUAAAUGUUCACAUUUUAUUAGUGAAGUACGUGAUUCUCCAUUUCUUCUUGUUUGCAUUACAUAUGCCAUGAUUAAACUUUAGGCACUAUAAAUUAUUAAAAAGUGUAGAUAAUCAGUUUUAAAUGUGAUACAGCAUGUCACUAAUAAUAAUGUUAAGAAUACACUAGCGCUGUUUACUCGUGCAUGCUGUUCCUUCUCUGGAAACUAGCAUUUCUUAAUAGUUUGGGCAUUUGGAAACAAGGAGAUAUAAGUUAGAGAGGCUUUUAUAAUAUUCAUCAUGGGCUCAAACUAUUGUAAAUUAUUUAUCUAUCACGCAGCAGGGCUUCUUGGUUUUUAUUUUAUUUUCUUCCGUGUCUUUGUUUGUCUUUCCCUUCUCCCAUGCCCUUCUCUCUCUUCCAGCGUCUUUGUCUUCUUCUUCUUCUUCUUCUUUGUUUGUCCUCCUUUUAUAUGUUUUUGUAAUUAACAGUAGGCAUCUUCCAUUCUAUUUCUGAGUCCGGUUCAACUUAAGAACCGGAACUGGAACCAUAAACAAGCCUCCAAAUUCUUUGAUUUUUAGGAACUACAAUUGGCACUUAACUCUUGUGGUGGCUUGUUCUAAGCAAGUUUGACAUAUUCUUUGUUCUAGCUUUGACUCCAUUUUGAUUUCAAUUGUGCUUCUAAUUUUGAUUCGAAUCUUGACUCUUGCACCUAUACAUUCUUGUGUUCAUUUUAUUAUUAAAAAUAAUACUAAAUAUAUAACAUCAAAACAAUAAUAAAAAAUAAUUAGUGCUAACAUCAUAUGAAAAGUAUAUUAUGUAUAGCCCUUAAUGAGUAUAUUACAUUACCUUGUACCUAUUUUUUAGUUACAUAGUCUUUAACUAAAAGAUACCUGUAAUUAAGAACUAAAAGAAUUUAUCAUAUGACUAACAUAUGAUGUAGUUAUAUCAUUAAAGGCUGUAAGGUGAUUUAAUGUAGUUAUGACUAAAAUUAUUUAGAAAAGUAGAAAAUAUAUAAACUAGUGAUUAAAGAUAAAUUAGACUGUAUAUAUAUCUUUGUGUGUGCGUG